This 1274-nucleotide ribosomal RNA is filed under the name Candidatus Portiera aleyrodidarum (primary endosymbiont of Bemisia tabaci). Its description in RNAcentral is "partial 23S ribosomal RNA". It matches the Rfam family "Bacterial large subunit ribosomal RNA", at positions 928 to 2202 of the family's 2925-position model. The record is from RNAcentral. Lineage: Bacteria; Pseudomonadati; Pseudomonadota; Gammaproteobacteria; Johnevansiales (SeqCode); Johnevansiaceae (SeqCode).
CAUAUAGACUUACUAAACCGAUGCAAACUACGAAUACCAAUGAGUGCAGCAUAGGAGACACACUAUGGGUGCUAACAUCCAUGGUGGAAAGGGAAAGAACCCAGACCGUCAGAUAAGGUCCCAAAAUCUUAGUUAAGUGGAAAACGAUGUGGGAAGACUAAGACAGCUAGGAGGUUGGCUUAGAAGCAGCCAUCCUUUAAAGAAAGCGUAAUAGCUCACUAGUCUAGUUCACCUGCGCGGAAAAUAUAACGGGGCUAAAACUAAGUACCGAAGCUACGGGUUUAUAUUAAAUAUAAGCGGUAGAGGAGCGUUGUGUAAGUCUGUGAAGGUAUAUUGUAAAAUAUGCUGGAGAUAUCACAAGUGCGAAUGCUGACAUGAGUAACGAUAAGGGAUGUGAGAAACAUCCCCGCCGAAAAACUAAGGGUUUCUGUUCAACGGUAAUCGGAGCAGAGUUAGUCGGUCCUAAGGUGAGGCUGAAAAGCGUAAUCGAUGGAAAACAGGUUAAUAUUCCCGUACCAUAUGUAAUUGCGAUGGGGGGACGGAGAAGGCUAGACGAGCCCAGCGUUGGUAGUCUGGGUGAAAGUAUGUAGGUUUAGAAAUUAGGUAAAUCCGAUUUCUUAAGAAAACUAAGGUAUGAGACGAAAUAGUAAAGUCGUUGAUGUCAUGCUUCCAGGAAAAGCCUCUAAGCGUCAGAUUACAUAUGACCGUACCAUAAACCGACACAGGUGGUUAGGUAGAGUAUACUAAGGCGUUUGAGAGAACUCGGGUGAAGGAACUAGGCAAAAUGACACCGUAACUUCGGGAGAAGGUGUGCCGAAUUAUUGUAUAACCUAUGAACCAGGGAAAGCAAGAAUCGGUCGAAGAGACCUGGUGGCUGCAACUGUUUAUUAAAAACACAGCACUCUGCUAACGCGUAAGCGGACGUAUAGGGUGUGACGCCUGCCCGGUGCUGGAAGGUUAAGAGGAGAUGUGCAAGCAUUGAAUUGAAGCCCCAGUAAACGGCGGCCGUAACUAUAACGGUCCUAAGGUAGCGAAAUUCCUUGUCGGGUAAGUUCCGACCUGCACGAAUGGCGUAAUGAUGGCCACACUGUCUCCAUCCGAGACUCAGUGAAAUUGAAAUUGCUGUGAAGAUGCAGUAUUCCCGCGGCUAGACGGAAAGACCCCGUGAACCUUUACUAUAGCUUCAUAUUGAAAGUGGGUAUUAUUUGUGUAGGAUAGCUGGGAGACAAUGAAGUAAAAACGCAAGUUUUUAUGGAGUCAACAUUGAAAUACCA